Molecule: long non-coding RNA, 454 nt
Organism: Argiope bruennichi
Lineage: Eukaryota; Metazoa; Arthropoda; Arachnida; Araneae; Araneidae
Exons: 2
Source: RefSeq, a predicted model, not a curated record
AAGUCCUUCACAAUGAAGAACUAAUUUAUCUGGCAUUAAUUGAUUAGGGCCAGAAGUCAAAGAAACCUGCGCCAAUGAUGAAGACACAUGCAAAUGUAACAUAUUUUCUCCCACCAAGAAUCGAUGUUGAAGAUACACGUGCUCCGGACUCUUGUUUUCUCUCCGAAUGCUGGCCCGAGCGGAUGGACUUAUUUUGAACAGUGAUUUGAUGUACCCAAUUCUUCAUGUCGCUUCUACAGCUUUUGGAGAUGAACGAAUCUGUUACAAAUGCAUCAGAAUCUCUGAGGAAUUCUGAUCAAGAAAAAAAAAAAAAAUACACUGUCAAGUUUGUGAUUUCAUAUAACUAAUUGAUGUUUUCAGGAGAGGGGUGUUGUUGUUAUAAAAUCGAUGUAAAGCCAGAUACUGAUUCAUUCUUUAUGAUAGAUGUUUGUGAAAUAAACUUCAUUUGUUUUUA